RNAcentral lists this long non-coding RNA (2512 nucleotides) under Helianthus annuus (common sunflower). The record is from RNAcentral. Lineage: Eukaryota; Viridiplantae; Streptophyta; Magnoliopsida; Asterales; Asteraceae.
CCUGAAACCCUUCUCCCCCAUAACCAAGAUCUUCUACCUUCUCCACCGCCGGUUCACUUCCACAGCCGCACCUCCUUCGCACUCCGAACGACCGCCGGCUGCCACCUGCACCGGAAUCACUUCCCCUGUCGACCUUCUCCGUCAUCUCCGCCUUGAUACCUCAACCCUACUCCGCUGACCCGCUACUCGACGCGGUCGCUCACCUCCACUUCAUCAAUCGUCGACCACCGCCACUUCUCCUCCAUCUCACGCCGCCCUCUGGAACCACGAGUCACCAAGCCCCACUACCGACCAUCGUUUUCAACCGCCGGCUGCCACCUGAACCGGCAACCCACCACAGUCGAACGACCGCCGGUCUACGUCUUCAGCCGUCGGACUCGUCUCCGAUGUUCACCGACACCCCCUUCUACGACUCUGCCCGCAUAUAUGGUUUUGAAUACUCUCUGCAUUGUUAAAGAGAAAAGGGUAGCCCAACUGUCUCAAGAUCACCACUGUCCAAGCGUUCGCAUAAAACAUCUUCGACCCGAUCCUCUGCCGCCUUUGUAGAUGCCUUCCACAUAUUUUUCCGAGCCUCGAGGACGAUGCUAUAUCUUAAGCUUGGGGAGGUUGAGAUUUGAGGUAAUUUCUAUGUUCUCAUUUUAGCUUGCAUUACCUAGUUAGUUUGUAAAUAGCUGCAUUCUUCAUGUUCGUUGCAUUUAGGGUGUAUAUACAUGCAUAAAAAAAAUUCUUAAAAAAAAAUUAAAAAUAAAAAAAAACCGUUUCUGUUCCGCUGAAAAUGAUUUGUGAAAAAUGAGAGAUGAUAUAAAAUUUCUGGCAUGUCGAAGCUUAUGCGUGAAAUGGUAACUUUGGGGAAGAAAACAUAGAUAAUUCGGGAUGUGUUGAUAGGCUCGGCCCUAACUUAGGAACACCAAUGUUGGAUGCAAUAACCUUAAUUAUAUAUAUGUGUUUAGUUUCCCAUCUUGAUGCUUGUGGUCAAAGAUUGAUCCCGACCAAAAAUCGGUUAAGUUGCAUAUCCUCUAUCACACACCAUGUUCUCCAUAUCAUGACACCUCCGUAAUAAAGAGGUGAAAAAUUGACCUCAAAUUGGUGAAAAAUUGACCUCAUAGGUUAUUAUAGUUUAAAACAAAAAAAAAAAAAAAAAAACAAAAAGAAAAAAAAAGAGAAAAAAGAAGGGGUAAAAGAGCACAAUGUUUGCCAAAAAUUUGAAAAAAAAAAUCGAAAUCGAAAUAAAAAAAUAUUUGAGCAAAUUAGGGAGAAAAGUCCCGACCCCUUGAAAAACGGAAAAAAAAAGAUAAUAACUAUCGUGUCAUGGUCUGGAUGCAUGGUCGCAUCAAGUGUGAUUUUGGAUAUCUUCAAAAAGUCGUGAGGUUGGGUAGAUGUUGCCAUAGGUGUUGGGCGUGGGGACGAUUGAACCAUGUUGGUAAAUUUGUAUAUUAUUAAGCAGAAAGCAUUUGGUUGUGAUUAAGCGGGUUUGAGUUUAAAGGGAUACAAAAUAUCAACAAUCGCGGUUACACGUUUAAGUAUUUCCCGGGUUCGAAUGAAUGUAAUAGGAGUUGAUAUUGUUAGAUAUGAUCUCAUUACAAGUUUAUUUUCCGGAAUAAAAGAAGCGGGUUGAAAAAAAAAUAGUAAGCAUGCAUAUGUGUAUUGUUUUUCGUGUUUAUUUCUCGGAUUAUUCUUAUUCUUGACUUCCUUGAGGACAAGGAAAGGUUUAAGCUUGGGGAGAUUUGUUAGUUGCAUUUUUAGGCACGUUUUAUUGCAUAAUAAUAUUAAUAUUUCACCACAUAUCAUGCAUAUUUCAUAGUCAUACCUCCUUAUUUUGCGAAAUACGCGUUUUUGUGGAACGGAAUCUACUUUGGACAUUUUAAUGAUUUUGUAGAUGUGGAGCAAUCGCCAUAUAUCACAAUGGGCGUGGAAAAGCUUAAGAGGUAUUCAUAAUAAAACAAGAAGAGCAAAGCAGCCGUUGAUGCGAUCCAAUUUAUGUUCAAGCUCAGUCAAAAGGAACAAUGAGGUUAAAAGUUGGUAACUUAGUGGAAGGUGUAAGUUUAAAGCUCAAGAAAAUAAAGAUCUAAAUAGAAUCUACAAGGAGCUCGAAACCAGCAGCAUCCAACAAAAAUUGAAGUUAUGAAAGUGGGCUUUAGUUAAUGAAUUUUAGUUGGACUAAAAUUUGGAAAUGGAAAUUAAAGAAAUUGUUGGGCUGAUGAUGAGAAUGAGAAGCUGGCCUUAAUUAAAUUAGAGAUGAACCACAAUAAAGAAAAAUAAAGGCCCAUGAGAAGUAGGGAAUUGUUGGCUGGGAAUAAAAAAAAGGAUCACGAACAAUCUAAAAAAAACCCAUCUUUGACGGCUGCAAAUUCGAGUGGAGUUCGAAAGAAGCAACAAAUCAGAUUUUGGGAAGUGAUUUUGGUUUGUUAGUUUAUGCUUUGUUUUGUAUUUGACUUGAUUGUUUUAGCCACCAUGUCCGGCUAGACGUUUAUAGUUUCGACAUCGGGGCGUGUUUUCUUUGAUUUGGUUUAAG